AGUGAGCGGGGAGGCCUCACAGAGAAAGGCACUGGAAGGCAACUACCAAAGACAUUGGAGUGUCCCGCCUACGGCGUGUGGAUAGCAUAGAAAACGUGUUCUGCGUCCCACCAAUCUUGACCUAUGCUGUGCCAAAGUGCUUCCAGUUAAGAUACGCUUUGGCAGACAUUGCAUAUUAUGCCCCUUUCUUAGAGUCAUGGGGUCAUGUUAGUGUCUAAAAGGUCCUAAGAAUUAGGACCUUUUGGCUUAAUGAUGACAGCAGUUAAACGUACUUAUUUGAUGAUAGGUUUCUGUUUGCUUUUCAUGGAACGCUUACAAAUCUCUCGCAGAACUUAGCACGG
RNAcentral lists this long non-coding RNA (341 nucleotides) under Rattus norvegicus (Norway rat). RNAcentral describes it as "long non-coding RNA NONRATT008737". Lineage: Eukaryota; Metazoa; Chordata; Mammalia; Rodentia; Muridae. The record is from RNAcentral.